GGCCAAAAAUAAAAUAUUGUUUGUUUCCCCUCACACGACCGACCCGGUAAAAUCAACGCGACCCGAAAAAUUUUAUUGGCCAUUCUUGUCCACUAUUUUUUUUUUUUUUGCUAUGUUGGUUAUUAGUGAUAUCUUUCCAAUGCUGUAGUCAACGAUCAUUGGGUUUUGGUGAUACCUUUCCGAUGCUGUAGUCAACGAGCGUUUUAAAUCAAGGUAUUUUUGCAUCUACAUGAAUCUACAUGAUUCGGAAUCAAGGAAAACAAACAAAAUGCUUUCCACACGAUUUGUU
Molecule: long non-coding RNA, 289 nt
Filed under: Mytilus galloprovincialis (Mediterranean mussel)
Lineage: Eukaryota; Metazoa; Mollusca; Bivalvia; Mytilida; Mytilidae
Source: RNAcentral